GCAAUAAGGUUGUGGUGCCUCCUAACCCUAAUCCCAAUGCCCCCUUAUAAAUAGGAUCCAAAAAGUUGGACGCCUAAGGGAUGAGAUCAAUUCCUCUCUGAUGCCUAGCCUCCUUUCUUCUCUUCCCUAUUCCUCCUCUUCCUUAUUCCUCUUCUAGUUCUUCUUUAUCCUAUAGAGCGUCUGUGAGAUAUGAAGAAAAAGCC
This 203-nucleotide long non-coding RNA is filed under the name Elaeis guineensis (African oil palm). Its description in RNAcentral is "long non-coding RNA (EGUI_LNC024289)". Lineage: Eukaryota; Viridiplantae; Streptophyta; Magnoliopsida; Arecales; Arecaceae. The record is from RNAcentral.